CCGGAUGUCGUUGAUGAGAUACUCCAGUGACUGCAGGCUGCUGCUCAGCACCGAUGUGUUGCACACACUCUUGCUGGGCAGGCCCGAGAGGGCAUCUGCAGGGGGCCCAGCCAGCUCCCGGGUUCUGCCAUUGUGGUGUGAAAACUCAUUUGUCCUCACCAUUAUACUUUCAUUUGGAGUUUAUCUUGAGUAUCCAAUGAGCCACCAACUGUGAAA
RNAcentral lists this long non-coding RNA (216 nucleotides) under Homo sapiens (human). RNAcentral describes it as "HSALNT0194721". Lineage: Eukaryota; Metazoa; Chordata; Mammalia; Primates; Hominidae. The record is from RNAcentral.